GACGAAGGAUGCAAGCGUUAUCCGGAUUCAUUGGGUUUAAAGGGAGCGUAGGUGGCCUUAUAAGUCAGUGGUGAAAUCUCUGGGCUUAACCCAGAAAUUGCCAUUGAUACUGUAGGGCUUGAGUAUAGUUGCCGUUGGCGGAAUAUGACAUGUAGUGGUGAAAUACAUAGAGAUGUCAUAGAACACCGAUUGCGAAGGCAGCUGACGAAACUAUAACUGACACUGAGGCUCGAAAAGUGCGGGGAUCAAACCAGG
This 255-nucleotide ribosomal RNA is filed under the name uncultured bacterium. RNAcentral describes it as "partial 16S ribosomal RNA". It matches the Rfam family "Bacterial small subunit ribosomal RNA", at positions 524 to 777 of the family's 1533-position model. The record is from RNAcentral.